UAAUGAUGCGUCAGUGUUGCUGAUUUCUCAU
This 31-nucleotide non-coding RNA is filed under the name Rattus norvegicus (Norway rat). Lineage: Eukaryota; Metazoa; Chordata; Mammalia; Rodentia; Muridae. The record is from RNAcentral.